GACGAACGCUGGCGGCGCGCCUAACACAUGCAAGUCGAACGGAGUUGUGUUGAAAGCUUGCUGGAUAUACAACUUAGUGGCGGACGGGUGAGUAACACGUGAGUAACCUGCCUCUCAGAGGGGGAUAACCAUUGGAAACGAUGGCUAAUACCGCAUAGUAUCGAGAGAUGAAAGGGGUGGGAAACCACUUGCCAAGGGAUGAACCCAAGUGAGAUUAGGUAGUUGGUGGGGUAAGGGCCUACCAAGCCGACGAUCUCUAGCUGGUCUGAGAGGAUGGCCAGCCACACUGGGACUGAGACACGGCCCAG
This 308-nucleotide ribosomal RNA is filed under the name uncultured bacterium. Its description in RNAcentral is "bacterial SSU rRNA". It matches the Rfam family "Bacterial small subunit ribosomal RNA", at positions 28 to 334 of the family's 1533-position model. The record is from RNAcentral.